GAUGAACGCUGGCGGCGUGCCUAAUACAUGCAGGUCGAGCGAACAGACGAGGAGCUUGCUCCUCUGACGUUAGCGGAGGACGGGUGAGUAACACGUGGAUAACCUACCUAUAAGACUGGGAUAACUUCGGGAAACCGGAGCUAAUACCGGAUAAUCUAUUGAACCGCAUGGUUCAAUAGUGAAAGACGGUUUUGCUGUCACUUAUAGAUGGAUCCGCGCCGUAUUAGCUAGUUGGUAAGGUAACAGCUUAUCAAGGCAACGAUGCGUAGCCGACGUGCGAGGGUGAACGGCCACACUGAGACUGAGACACGGUCCAGACUCCUACGGGAGGCAGCAGUAGGGAAUCUUCCGCAAUGGGCGAAAGCCUGACGAAGCAACGCCGCGUGAGUGAUGAAGGUCUUCGGAUCGUAAAACUCUGUUAUUAGGGAAGAACAAAUGUGUAAGUAACUAUGCACGUCUUGACGGUACCUAAUCAGAAAGCCACGGCUAACUACGUG
Molecule: ribosomal RNA, 497 nt
Filed under: uncultured bacterium
Lineage: Bacteria
Description: partial 16S ribosomal RNA
Rfam family: Bacterial small subunit ribosomal RNA
Source: RNAcentral